This 1534-nucleotide ribosomal RNA is filed under the name Minisyncoccota bacterium. RNAcentral describes it as "partial 23S ribosomal RNA". It matches the Rfam family "Bacterial large subunit ribosomal RNA", at positions 2417 to 2913 of the family's 2925-position model. Lineage: Bacteria; Bacillati; Minisyncoccota. The record is from RNAcentral.
GAUCCGACCCUGCGCAUUAGACGCGGGGGGAGCUCAACGGAUAAAAGCUACUCUGGGGAUAACAGGCUAGUACCGCCCGAGCGUCCACAGCGACGGCGGUGUUCGGCACCUCGAUGUCGGCUCACCUUAUCCCGGGGCUGGAGAAGGUCCCAAGGGUAUGGCUGUUCGCCAUUUAAAAAGGUACGUGAGCUGGGUUCAGACCGUUCAGGAAUCAUGAAGCGUGUAACGUGUAACCUGUAACGCAAGAAAUUCUUGUGUUACACGAUAUAUGAUUCGCGAUUCGUGUCUUGGACAGUCUGAACCCUGAUGAAUCGAGAGUAAGUUAUCUAUCCGAAGAAAAAAAGAAAAGUCUUUUCGUCGAAGAUAAAAAUCUAUAUGCGAUAGCGAUAUCGCGUUGAUUUUUCCUUAUGAGUUGUCAUGGGGUUAAAAGAGAUCCAAUCACAUCACGGCGGUCAUAUAGAGUAAUCUGUAUGAAACAAGCUGACUAUAUCGGUAAACUCCCAAGACGCGAAUGUUCGCAAAUCCAAUCAAUUGACUGGGCGCGAAUGCACGCGAAUGGACAAUACCGAGGAUAUGAUGAGAUCGUAAGCUUCAUUGAGGGAAAUUUAGUUGGGGGGUCGUUCAAGCAAGGACGCCAGGCACGGACCUGGAAAUAGGGGUUCAAUUCCCUUCCUCCCAACCAAAUUGUAAACAGCUCGAGGUGCGGAACCUCCUAAACGUCUUCGUCGGCCGUAUCUUAAACGGUCCUAAAUCGAAGUAUGCGCGGGUUGAUUGUCGCAGGUUCAAUCCUGCUUCACAUUCCCACUCGAGUUGGGGUCCCGCAUGGAAGAGUUUCUGGCUGCUGGCGGCAGGCAAUGCCACGUCGUGAGACAGUGUGCGUGUGCAGAAACUUCCAUGCGGGACCCCGUCCCACAAUGUUCUUGAGGGGAGUAAAAAAGACGAGUGUACCUGGCUCUUCCGUCGCCCGUGUGAAUAGGGCAGCCACACAUCGGUCGUCAGGUUGGUCCAAUCCCAACCCUCCCCACCAGUCCGAACUUCGGUUCGGACCCUCAAUGAAGCUUAUGAUUAGAAACCAUCACAUCCGUAGAGACUGAACGUCAGCCUACCGUGCGCACAAGGCGCACGUAACAAACAAAAUAUAACAACCAACACACAAGGAAUUCUUUGUCUGUUGUCUGUCGAAUGUUGUUUGUUUUUGUAGAUGCUCCAGUCCAAUGCAACGAGUAAUCGUUGGUAUCAUGCGUGAGACAGGUUGGUCUCCUAUCUGCUGCAGGCGUUGAUUUUUGAGGAAAUUCGCUUCUAGUACGAGAGGACCGAAGUGAACUGACCUCUGGUGUACCAGUUGUUCUGCCAAGAGCAUUGCUGGGUAGCUAUGUCGGGUAUGGAUAACCUCUGAAAGCAUCUAAGAGGGAAGCCAGUUCCAAGAUUAGAAAUCGUUAAGACCCGUGAGAGAUGAUCACGUUGAUAGGCGUUAGGUGGAAGCAUAGCAAUAUGUUGAGCCGAGACGUACUAAUUCGUCGAAUUCUCUUGUUAG